UCUACAUUCAAAGCUCCCACGCCGGCUUCUGUUAUUCCUUCUGCCGGCUUUUCCCGGGGAUUUUUUUUGAUUUUUCCAUGGAAUUUUUCCCAGAUUUUUUUGGGAUCAUUCCCUGUUUUCCCCAGAUUUGCUGUGCCGGGCCCUGGGCAGCUCCCGGCGCUGUGGGCCGGGCUGGCGCUCCCACGCUGGCUCCUGUUAUUCCUUCUCGGGGUUCGCGCUAGCUGGGGCCGCGCCCGCGCUGCCUGCGAGGACCUGGGGGCGCAGCUGGCCGUGGUCAGCGACGAGGCCGAGCAGCUAUUCCUGGUGCAGAACAGCAACCGCAGCAGCUCCUACUGGCUGGGGGUGACGGACGCAGAGGAGGGGAAAUGGCGCUGGGCCAACGGCGAGGAGCCGCAGAUUGGGUUUUGGGACGUGUGGCUGCAGGAGGAGCAGCAGGAUCUGAAGGAUUGCGGCACCCUGGGGCCCAACGGGCGCUGGGCGAGCGCGGCCUGCGCGGAGCCGCUGCGCUGGGGCUGUGAGAGGCCCGGACACUGCUGAAAAUCCCUUCUUUUCACCCAAAAAUUCCCCCCAAAAUAAAAAAAAAAAAUCGCUAAAAAACCCCUAAAAAUUCCGCAAAAAACCCGGAAAAAAUCCCCACAAAAAUCCCUAUUUUAUUAAAGAAUUUGUGCCGAAAAAUCUGAUUUAUUUUAAGGAUUUGUGUCCAAAAAUCCCGCAAAAAAUGCCGAUUUUAUUCAAGGUUUUGUGCUAAUAAUUCCGGUUUUUAAAAGGAUUUUCAGAAAAAAAUCCGAUUUUUUUAAAGGGUUUGGGGCCAAAAGUCCUGCAAAACAUUCUGCAAAAAUCCCCCCAAAACCCCCAUUUUUUUAGGGAUUGGUGCCAAAAAUCCCACCAAAAAUCCAAUUUUUAAAAGGGUUUUGUGAAAAAAAUUCCAAUUUUGAAGGGGUGAGGGCGGCCUGCGUGAAGCCGCUGCGCUGGGGCUGCGAGAGGCCCAGACACGGCUGAAAUUCCCUUUUUUCCACCCAAAAAUUCCCCCCAAAAUUUAAAAAAAAUCCCUAAAAAACCCCCAAAAAUCCCGCAAAAAACCUGUAAAAAUCCCCACAAAAAUCCCGACUUUAUUAAAGAAUUUUGUGCCAAAAAAUCUGAUUUUCUUUUUUUUAAGGAUUUGUGUCAAAAAUCCCGCAAAAAAUCUGCAAAAAACCCAGAAAAAAUCCUGCAAAAGAACUGGAAAAAAUAAAGAAAAAUCCCGAUUUUAUUAAAGAAUUUGUACCAAAAACUCCGAUUUUUGGAAGUGUUUAGUGCAAAAAAAAAAAAAAAAAAAAAAAUCUGAUUUUUUAAAAAGAAUUUGUGCCAAAAAUUCUAUUUUUUAAAGGGAUUUGUGCCAAAAAUUCCGAAAAAA
RNAcentral lists this long non-coding RNA (1393 nucleotides) under Taeniopygia guttata (zebra finch). Its description in RNAcentral is "lncRNA (ENSTGUG00000021554.1)". The record is from RNAcentral. Lineage: Eukaryota; Metazoa; Chordata; Aves; Passeriformes; Estrildidae.